This 506-nucleotide ribosomal RNA is filed under the name uncultured bacterium. RNAcentral describes it as "partial 16S ribosomal RNA". It matches the Rfam family "Bacterial small subunit ribosomal RNA", at positions 29 to 523 of the family's 1533-position model. The record is from RNAcentral.
AGUGAACGCUGGCGGUAGGCCUAACACAUGCAAGUCGAACGGCAGCACAGGAGAGCUUGCUCUCUGGGUGGCGAGUGGCGGACGGGUGAGGAAUACAUCGGAAUCUACUCUGUCGUGGGGGAUAACGUAGGGAAACUUACGCUAAUACCGCAUACGACCUACGGGUGAAAGCAGGGGACCAUCGGGCCUUGCGCGAUUGAAUGAGCCGAUGUCGGAUUAGCUAGUUGGCGGGGUAAAGGCCCACCAAGGCGACGAUCCGUAGCUGGUCUGAGAGGCUGAUCAGACAAACUGGAGCUGUGACAAGGUCCGGGAUCCCACGGGAGGCAGAAGUGGGGAAUAUUGGACACUGGGCGCAAGCCUGAUCAAGCCAUACCGCGUGGGUGAUGAAGGCCUUCGGGUUGUACAGCCCUUUUGUUGGGAAAGAAAUCCAGCUGGCUAAUACCCGGUUGGGAUGACGGUACCCAAAGAAUAAGCACCGGCUAACUUCGUGCCAGCCGCCGCAGUAA